UACGUAGGGUGCAAGCGUUAAUCGGAAUUACUGGGCGUAAAGCGUGCGCAGGCGGUUUUGUAAGUCUGUCGUGAAAUCCCCGGGCUUAACCUGGGAACUGCAUUGGUGACUGCAGCGCUGGAGUAUGGCAGAGGGGGGGUAGAAUUCCACGUGUAGCAGUGAAAUGCGUAGAGAUGUGGAGGAAUACCGAUGGCGAAGGCAGCCCCCUGGGCCCAAUACUGACGCUCAUGCACGAAAGCGUGGGGAGCAAACGAAGG
RNAcentral lists this ribosomal RNA (257 nucleotides) under uncultured bacterium. RNAcentral describes it as "partial 16S ribosomal RNA". It matches the Rfam family "Bacterial small subunit ribosomal RNA", at positions 524 to 778 of the family's 1533-position model. The record is from RNAcentral.